This 446-nucleotide ribosomal RNA is filed under the name uncultured bacterium. RNAcentral describes it as "partial 16S ribosomal RNA". It matches the Rfam family "Bacterial small subunit ribosomal RNA", at positions 338 to 795 of the family's 1533-position model. The record is from RNAcentral.
CCUACGGGUGGCAGCAGUCGAGAAUCAUUCACAAUGGGGGAAACCCUGAUGGUGCGACGCCGCGUGGGGGAAUGAAGGUCUUCGGUUUGUAAACCCUUGUCAUGUGGGAGCAAAUUAAAAAGAUAGUACCACAAGAGGAAGAGACGGCUAACUCGGUGCCAGCAGCCGCGGUAAUACAGAGGUCUCAAGUGUUGUUCGGAACCACGGGGCGUAAAGCGUGCGUAGGCUGUUUCGUAAGUCGUGUGUGAAAGGCGCGGGCUCAACCCGCGGACGGCACAUGAUAUUGCGAGACUAGAGUAAUGGAGGGGGAACCGGAAUUCUCGGUGUAGCAGUGAAAUGCGUAGAUAUCGAGAGGAACACUCGUGGCGAAGGCGGGUUCCUGGACAUUAACUGACGCUGAGGCACGAAGGCCAGGGGAGCGAAAGGGAUUAGAUACCCGGGUAGUC